UUAAGUAUUUACAUUAUAAGGAGACAACGGUCCAGCAACCCAAAGUUGACUGGGAGACGACGGCCUAGACCACUCACGAACUCAUCACAGCAUCCUUCACGCGCCUCAUCCUGCGGUACCUGGUCUUGACCUGUGGUGUAUGUGAGACAGCAAGAGUGAGCUCACAUACGUUCAUCGCUCAACAAGUUGUGGGGAAUAAUGUGCAUGAACUCGCCAAAGGUGGGAGCUCACGUGAAGUGUAAGGCUUACCAAAGAAGAUGGUUAGAGCUGAGCAUUGCUUUUAAAGUUGGUCAAAAUUUUAUUAGCAGUUACUAAGUAUAAGUAAAUACCAAACCCAAUUAAGUAGUAGAACAAAAAUAACAACUUCACCCGCGAUGCAAUGCAUAUGACAAAUUGAAUUUAGUUCCAUAAUUUAAUCAUCAGAGAGUCCUGAGCUGCUCAUGACCGUGAGCUCGGCUAGUAUACCAGUUUUACACUCUGCAGAGGUGGUACCCUUUACCCACAAGUCAUGUUACCCAUCUGCCAAGAGAUCGCGACUUCCCAUACACCUCUACCGAGGAGGCGAGGCAGGGUAACACUACGAGGCCUUUACAAAGUUCCACUAGCUUCAGAAAACCCGCUACAGUUUAUAGGAAGCUCCAAUGCAGGAAUCCCUUGCAGGACCGCCAUCGCAGCAAAAUCCUCCCGAGGGCCUCCCUACACUGACCACUCCCCUACUGCCCUUGCCCCUUUCGGGUAAGGUAGUCCUCCACUAGCUUUCCUAAUUAGUCAGCCAAGGGCGUCCCAUUAAACCCUUGUGGUGGCACGUGGUUCUCAAGUUAAGCUCUAUGUUCCAAUUAACAUUUAAUGAUCUUGUCAUGAACAUAAAUAGAAUAACAACAUAAUUGGAACAUAGAUGUAAUGAAAUAUUAACCCAAAACCAUAUAAAGCAGUAGCAGAACUACCCAAGUGAUUCAGGGGUAAACAAGGUAUUCAGGACGAACAAACUAGGGUGACCUAUUGGGUCCCAUCAAAAUUAACCUAUGUAGAUCAUUAUGAUUAAUCAGAACAUGAGUGGGUAAAAGAAGUGAUCAAGGGCACAACUUGCCUGGGACUUGAGAUUCCAGGUACCAGGAUGAUCUUCAGGUGACUCGUAAUCUCGCGCUAGUCGUAGCAACACAAACAAGCAUGGUAUAGACAAAAUUAACAUCACACCAAACAUAAGAAUAAACUGUGUAUUAAUAUCCUACGUUGUAUAACGAGAUCGUGAGUACAAGAAUUACUAAAUUCGGAGUUACGGGUACCAAGUUAUGAAUUUCUGGAAUUAUUAGGUACUUGGAAUAGCAUAACUCAUGUGGAUAAUUUUAGUUCAAGUUUCAUGGCUAAACAAUGUUAUGGUUGGUAGAAAAUACUAAUACAAAAUUAAUGUCACUGGAAUGGACCCAAAAGGGUUUAAUAUGAAUUUUCUAUGAAUUUUACAAGUUUCUAGAAUUAUUUUUGUAUUAAAAAUCAUUUUCUACAAUUAAUUUCCUAUUUUUACUGUUCUCUGGACUGGGCGUCAAAAACAGAGGAACGCAGGGGCUCUAGCGUAAGUUUUCUAAGACUAAGAGAAUAGUGCAAUUGGACGGCGGGUUAAUUCAUCGAAAUCCGAGGGGCUCGUUUAGAAAAUGACCACGGCAAAGGGGUAAGAUGGAAUCUGAGCCGCCCGAUCCAGAACCGAGGACCCAGGUUAAAAGCCCGCUACGACGAACCGGUACGUAUUGUGUGCCGUUCGAUCAGGGACCAACGCCCAGGAUUUAAAUAGCCGAGAGAGAAUCUCGUACAUCCGAUCGGAUCCAACGGUCAGACUCUGACACAUGAAGGGGGUACGCGAAGCACGAUCACAUCCAUCCAUAGCCGAAUCAACGGUCCACCCAUCGCCUCCUUCCUCCGCCAAAAACCGAGCACGGCGGCGGCGUCGGUCAGCCCGCACGGUGGCGCAUCAACGGCGCACACCCAAAUCCAAGCCUCUGAUGCACGAGUUCCUAAGGCAACGAGCUCUAUGCGUAGCAGGGACAAGAGUGAACGUUGAAGAGGGUUACUUACCCAGAUUAAUGAAGCGAAGCCGGUCGACCACAGCCGGGGCGGAUACGCGGCUCCGGCUGCCGAGCUCCACAGAUGGCAAGGCCAGGCGCGUGCGGCCAUAGAGCACGCGGGGGCACCUUGCACUUGGGUUCGAGAGAGUACACAGGGAAGGUUGGAGGCUCGCCCAUGGAGGGAGCCCCGCCCGGCCUCCAAGGAAGAGGAGCAGGGGCGAUGGUUGCCGAGCGCCAUGGAUGGGCAGAAGG
This 2306-nucleotide long non-coding RNA is filed under the name Zea mays. RNAcentral describes it as "long non-coding RNA (ZMAY_LNC001844)". The record is from RNAcentral. Lineage: Eukaryota; Viridiplantae; Streptophyta; Magnoliopsida; Poales; Poaceae.